CAUCAGAUGACUGAAAGCAAGUAAUGGUCUCUUAAACCAUAAAAUGGUGAACUAAUAAACACCUCUGAUGA
RNAcentral lists this transfer RNA (71 nucleotides) under Heterogamodes hebraica. RNAcentral's name for it is "tRNA-Lys". Lineage: Eukaryota; Metazoa; Arthropoda; Insecta; Blattodea; Corydiidae. The record is from RNAcentral.